CUUGCUGCUCGGCCUUUUGGCUAAGAUCAAAUGUAGUAUCUGUUUUGAUCAGGAGGGGUGUCAAAAACCUCUUCUGGUCAGGCAGAGAAACUUUUGAUCCUCUGACCAAAGGCCAGCAUUAUGAAAGCCUGA
Molecule: small nuclear RNA, 132 nt
Filed under: Xenopus laevis (African clawed frog)
Lineage: Eukaryota; Metazoa; Chordata; Amphibia; Anura; Pipidae
Description: U2 spliceosomal RNA
Rfam family: U2 spliceosomal RNA
About the family: U2 is a small nuclear RNA (snRNA) component of the spliceosome (involved in pre-mRNA splicing). Complementary binding between U2 snRNA (in an area lying towards the 5' end but 3' to hairpin I) and the branchpoint sequence (BPS) of the intron results the bulging out of an unpaired adenosine, on the BPS, which initiates a nucleophilic attack at the intronic 5' splice site, thus starting the first of two transesterification reactions that mediate splicing.
Source: Rfam by way of RNAcentral